GACGAACGCUGGCGGCGUGCUUAACACAUGCAAGUCGAACGGAAAGGCCCCCUUGUGGGGUACUCGAGUGGCGAACGGGUGAGUAACACGUGAGUAACCUACCCUUGACUUUGGGAUAACUUCAGGAAACUGGGGCUAAUACCGGAUAGGAGCUCCUGCUGCAUGGUGGGGGUUGGAAAGUUUCGGCGGUUGGGGAUGGACUCGCGGCUUAUCAGCUUGUUGGUGGGGUAGUGGCUCACCAAGGCUUUGACGGGUAGCCGGCCUGAGAGGGUGACCGGCCACAUUGGGACUGAGAUACGGCCCAGACUCCUACGGGAGGCAGCAGUGGGGAAUAUUGCACAAUGGGCGGAAGCCUGAUGCAGCAACGCCGCGUGCGGGAUGACGGCCUUCGGGUUGUAAACCGCUUUCGCCUGUGACGAAGCGUGAGUGACGGUAAAGGGUAAAGAAGCACCGGCUAACUACGUG
This 465-nucleotide ribosomal RNA is filed under the name uncultured bacterium. Its description in RNAcentral is "partial 16S ribosomal RNA". It matches the Rfam family "Bacterial small subunit ribosomal RNA", at positions 28 to 507 of the family's 1533-position model. The record is from RNAcentral.